AUGCAACUCAGUAUUUAUAAAAAUAUUUAAUAUAUUUUUCUAACAUUUUAGUUUUUGAUGCUUUAAUACCUGGGAAAUAAUAAUGUAUAUAAAUCAAACAUUUUUGUAGUUCUCUGUGCUAUUUUUAUACACUGUCCAUCUUGUGCAGUUUUGCACUUGUAUUUCUAUUAGUGUAUUUUUAGUUCUCUUACAGUAUGGUUAGCUGGAUAUAUUUUGUUGUGUACACCAAUGGAUGGUAUGCACAACAAAAUAUAUUUGAGUUACCACAACAUUGGUAUGCAUACCAAUGUUGGCCUUAUCCUUUGGGUUACCACCUUUUUUAUCUUUCAUCCUCUCCUUAUAGAUUUUUAACUGUUGAAAGAUUUACAGAAUGUUCAAUAAAUUUAAAAUAUAAAAUUCAAAUUUUUUGUUCUAAUAUGUUUAUAUUCUAGCUUGUUCUUAUUUAUGCUUGAUUUGUAUUCUGUCAGCUGAAGAGAACUGAACAGGCCAGGAAUGUUACUGAAUUAUGGACUUUAUUUGUGUUCAAUAAAUACUAAUUUGUUAGAUUUUCAUUUUUUUCCAUGGAUAAUUUUUCAUAUUUCUUCAAUAUAUAUGUAUAUACACAGAUGAUGAUGAUAAAUAUAGUGAAAUUUUAAAAAUUUUAAAUAAUACUCAGUUACUAGUGAAAAACAGUUAUAUAUUGCAGAGUGCUUUCAGUUUUAUUGAGCCAUCA
RNAcentral lists this long non-coding RNA (712 nucleotides) under Androctonus crassicauda. Lineage: Eukaryota; Metazoa; Arthropoda; Arachnida; Scorpiones; Buthidae. The record is from RNAcentral.